GAUGAACGCUGGCGGCGUGCCUAAUACAUGCAAGUCGAGCGAACAGACGAGGAGCUUGCUCCUCUGACGUUAGCGGCGGACGGGUGAGUAACACGUGGAUAACCUACCUAUAAGACUGGGAUAACUUCGGGAAACCGGAGCUAAUACCGGAUAACAUGUUGAACCGCAUGGUUCAACAGUGAAAGACGGUCUUGCUGUCACUUAUAGAUGGAUCCGCGCCGCAUUAGCUAGUUGGUAAGGUACCGGCUUACCAAGGCAACGAUGCGUAGCCGACCGGAGAGGGUGAUCGGCCACACUGGAACUGAGACACGGUCCAGACUCCUACGGGAGGCAGCAGUAGGGAAUCUUCCGCAAUGGGCGAAAGCCUGACGGAGCAACGCCGCGUGAGUGAAGAAGGUCUUCGGAUCGUAAAACUCUGUUAUUGGGGAAGAAAAAAUGUGUAAGUAACUAUGCACGUCUUGACGGUACCUAAUGAGAAAGCCACGGCUAACUACGUG
This 497-nucleotide ribosomal RNA is filed under the name uncultured bacterium. Its description in RNAcentral is "partial 16S ribosomal RNA". It matches the Rfam family "Bacterial small subunit ribosomal RNA", at positions 28 to 507 of the family's 1533-position model. The record is from RNAcentral.